Molecule: long non-coding RNA, 1214 nt
Organism: Camarhynchus parvulus
Lineage: Eukaryota; Metazoa; Chordata; Aves; Passeriformes; Thraupidae
Exons: 3
Source: RefSeq, a predicted model, not a curated record
CGGGACAGAAAUCAGGCCUCUCCCCAGUGUGGAUGUUCCGGUGCUGGAUCAGGCUGGAGCUGCGGCUGAAGCUCUUCCCACACUCAGAACACUCGUAGGGCCUGUCCCCAGUGUGGAUCAUCUGGUGGCUGAUCAGGUGCACGAUCAGGGCAGAAUUGUGGCUGAAGCUCUUCCCACACUCCCCACACUCGUACGGCCUCUCUCCAGUGUGGGUCCUCUGGUGCUCGAUGAGGCCGGAACUCCUGCUGAAGCUCUUCCCACACUCCGCACACUCGUAGGGCUUCUCCCCGGUGUGGAUCACCUGGUGCCUGAUCAGGUGAGAGCGCCGUCUGAAGCUCAUCCCACACUCCCCACACUCGUAGGGCCGUUCCCCAGUGUGGAUCACCUGGUGCAGGAUCAGGCUGGAGCUCCAGCUGAAGCUCUUCCCGCACUGCCCACACGUGUGGGGCUUCUCCCCAUCAUGGAGCUGCUCAUGGAGCACCAGCUCCGAGCUCUGCCUCCAUCUCCGGCCGCCUUCCCGGCCCAGGCUGGCUCUUUCCCCCUCACAUCCCCGCCGUCUGCGUUUGCAGCCCCUCCUCGUGCGGCAUCUCCGGGCCUUUUCCUCCCCGUUGGCUUCCUGCGCCGUGGAGCCGCUCAAAACGGCCUCUUCCACCAGGUUCUGCCGCGGGCAUUUGUCCUCCCUGCUCUCCAUGCUCAGCUCCUGCUCUGGGCGAGGAAGGACAAGGACACGAUGGCAUUUGCCUCCGUGCCACAGGCAAGGCCAAGCAGAUCCCCCCAGGGCGUCCGCGGCAGGACGGCCCCGGCACCCCCCGAUGUCCCCCCGAGGGGCCUUUUCCGCUCAGCCUUGCACUUCUUCAUUCUCCAAACAUCGCCCCAAAAACCCAACCCAGGGACCCCCCGGGAUAUCUGGGCCCGCUCACCUGCGCGAUGGGGGGGGCGAUGAUCCCACAGGUGGGGGCUGCGAAUUCAGGCAGGGCUGGAGCGCGGUUCCGUCAGCUCAGCCUCGAUCCGCCUUUGUCCCUCCUCUUCCUCUUCCUACGGCUCCUCCUCUUCCAUCCCCUCUCCUCCUCCUCCCACCCAACCACACCUCCUUCUCCUCUUCCGUCCCUCCGCUUUCCCUCCCUCCUCCUCCUCCUCCUCUCUUUCCCCACCUCCUUCUCUUCCCUCCCUCCUCCUCUUCACUCCCUCCUCAUGGAAAGGGAUGGAACCCCGAA